RNAcentral lists this ribosomal RNA (539 nucleotides) under Russula sp. RNAcentral's name for it is "partial small subunit ribosomal RNA". It matches the Rfam family "Bacterial small subunit ribosomal RNA", at positions 365 to 947 of the family's 1533-position model. Lineage: Eukaryota; Fungi; Basidiomycota; Agaricomycetes; Russulales; Russulaceae. The record is from RNAcentral.
UAGUCAAUGCUCGAAAGAGUGAACUAGCUAACUGAAAUCAAUAAUAAUAAUUGAUAACAUAAGGGAAAAUAAUGAUAUUACCUUAUUAUUAGUGUCGUCCAAAACUGGUGCCAGAAGACUCGGUAAGGCCAGAGACACAAACGUUAAUCGUCUUAAUCAGGCGUAAAGGGUUUGUAGGCGGCUUUAAAAUUUACUUAAUAAAAUAAAAAAUAAUAAGUAAAAAAUAAAAGCUAGAAUCAAAUAGAGGAUAUAUGAAAGAAUGCUUAGAGUAGGUCUGAUAUCUUUAGAUACUAAGUAGAAUAUUAAAGGCGAAAGCUUUUUUCCAUUAAUGAUUGACGCUCAGAAACGAAGGUGAGGAUAGGAAAUAGGAUUAGAUACCCAGAAUACCCCUCUCUGUCAACGAUGAAUGGUAGUUAUUAGUAAAAAUAUAUUAAUGACAAUGUUAACACGAUAACCAUUCCGCCUUGUGAGUACAACUGCAAAGUUGAAAACAAAAAAAUUAGUCGGUUUCGGAGCAAACGAAGUGAAGCAUGUUAUUU